GACGGAGGGUGCUAGCGUUGUUCGGAAUUACUGGGCGUAAAGGGCGCGUAGGCGGCCGUUUGCGUCGGAUGUGAAAGCCCGGGGCUCAACCCUGGAACGGCAUCCGAUACGGGACGGCUGGAGACCGGGAGAGGAGGGUGGAAUAGCCAGUGUAGAGGUGAAAUGCGUAGAGAUCGGCAGGAACACCCAGGGGGAAACCAGUCGACUGGGCAUCUACUGACGCUGAGGUGCGAGAGCGUGGGGAGCGAACCGG
RNAcentral lists this ribosomal RNA (253 nucleotides) under uncultured bacterium. RNAcentral's name for it is "partial 16S ribosomal RNA". It matches the Rfam family "Bacterial small subunit ribosomal RNA", at positions 524 to 776 of the family's 1533-position model. The record is from RNAcentral.